UUUUCAGUUGAUGCUUUCCUCUCGGAUCAUUGGCACUAAUCAUUAAUUCCAAAUACUCGAGCUGUAAGGAAAAUGCAACUAGUUCACUCAAAACGUGCAAAUACAGUUCUCACGGGUCUCGACUGUGAUUUGGCUCAACCAGUCUCACACCACUUCAAAUAUGACUCGGCUCAACCCAAUCUAGCUCUCGUCAAUUCGAACGUGAUGUGGCCUAACCUGACCUCCCGCCAAAAGAAAUGAUGUUGUCUCCUUUAAGCCAACAUUCCCAACAUAGCAUCUAUCUAAUUUCUUCCAAUUUGAAUCUUCUAAACUUUAAAAGAGUACUCUAAAUCAAAUUUAACAGUAUCAAUUGCUGAUUCGGAUGAUCCAUCACUGUAAACAAUGCGAAG
Molecule: long non-coding RNA, 389 nt
Filed under: Ananas comosus (pineapple)
Lineage: Eukaryota; Viridiplantae; Streptophyta; Magnoliopsida; Poales; Bromeliaceae
Description: long non-coding RNA (ACOM_LNC001264)
Source: RNAcentral